RNAcentral lists this long non-coding RNA (5230 nucleotides) under Sus scrofa (pig). RNAcentral's name for it is "lncRNA (ENSSSCG00005033905.1)". The record is from RNAcentral. Lineage: Eukaryota; Metazoa; Chordata; Mammalia; Artiodactyla; Suidae.
AGACCACAGGACUCUCUGAAUCUAUGGCUGCCUCAUAAGGGGACUGCUAAGGUUAACUGAGUAAGAGCAGGUUUGGUGGGUAUAUUGAAGCUGUAUUUCAGAUAGGUGGCUUAGGGGCCCAGGGCAAGCAAGAUAAAGACAUCAAGGAUGGAGCCAGGGCCAGAGACCGCUGCUUGGGAGUCAUUAGGCUCUGGGUGAUCUUUGAAGCCAUCAGCCUGGAUGUGGCUUUCCAGGGAGAGUGUUGGAGAGGAAGUCAAGACUAAGGCUUGGGGAUGCCAGUGUUUAAGGGAAGCCAAGAAAAGAUGGGUCCACAAAGGACAUUGAGAAGGUCUAGCAGGAGAGGUAGGAGGGAACCUGUUAUCCUGAAUUGUUAUUAUUCAUUGAAGGUUUAGUAUGAUAGAGUCACUGUGCUUGGGGUUUCAUGUAUUAUACUCUUUAAAUCUGCAACAACCUUGCAGGUGGGUAUUGGUCAUGGUUGAUGGGCUCAGAGUUUAAGUAACAUGCCCAAGUUUAAGGUCUGCAGCCAGCAUGGCAGACCUGCCUCUUUUCAAAGAACACGUUCUUCUCCACCCCAUGGGAAUAGUGGUUGCAGCAGAGAUGGGGGCACCAGAGUCCAGAAAACCCACCUUCUUUCACUUGACCUGAGCAACUUGAGCAGAUGUCAAGUUCAGGGAACUUGACCAUUGCAGGUACAAGUCUGGGGGUGGGUGGGCACUGACCUCCUUUCUCUGCUGGCCUCGCUGAGCAGGCCAUGAAAUGGAGACCCGGACAAAGAGGCUAUUUAAAAUGGAACAUGGAAAACAGUGCCAGCGAAGUAAUUGCAUCAUGAAUUGUGGCCAGAAAAGGAGCCUAGCAACAAACUCAGUUUCUGUUGGGCACAAGACACAGAGAACUUACUGUACCCAGUUCUGUCUUUUUCCUUCUUGUUGGCGUCUUUAUUUUUCUUUCUUGAGUACACUGGUGGACCAGCUUUAUCUAAGGUCCUGGGGUUGGCGUGGUCCUUCUGAGCCUUGAAGUGUUUGGGGAGGUCCCUCAGGUGGUAUGGAUGUGGGCAUAUCCCCUGUCUAACAUUGGCUGAGCACUUGUGUGCAAGAGAAUGUACCUGAGUGUUGUCCACAUAUUACCUUAUUUACCUGUUGGCCCCCAACCCUGUGAGUUAGGUAAUAUAAUUAUCUUUUUCUUUUCUUUUUUUUCUUUUCCUGGUGGGGAAACUGUGCUGGGGAAGGUUAAGACCUUGUCCAUGAUCCCAUGGCUAAUGGUGGUGAAUUAGGGCUUGAACUUGGCCCGCUGACCUUCCACAGUUAUUCUCUGCAUCUUCCCUCCUUUGUCAGGGGCUGGUAUCUUGUCCAGUCCGAGUCUCCUUGGCCUGCGUCUGGUUUUCUUGGCUCUCAGCUGUGAUUGUCCUGGAAGACCCUGCAGGGCUAGCAAAGCUUGUUGGAGAGGGAGCUGGCUGAGUGACCUGGAAGAGGUAGAACAGCUUGUUCAGAGGUCUUCCUUUGAGAGGUCGACGCCAGGGGAGCUGCUGAAGGCCCAGGAGUGGGUCAUGUCACCACAAAGCUUUGUUCCUGUGCUUCUCUGGCGUUCAGACGAAGCUGUUGCUUAGACUCUGGAAAUUGUCAUGUGACUGAACAUCCCGUGGCCUCUGGGGGCAGUCAUGGGGGCCCCCUCCUUCCUGUGGGGAGGAGCUGUGCACGGCAGGCUUGGUUGUGAACAGCUGACUGCUCACUGCUCACCCCCCGCCGGGCCCUGGAUGGAACAUCCUAGUGAAAGCCAGUGUCUUAAUACUUAGCAACAUUGCCUUUGUUUAAGCCUCUUGCUUAGGGAUUUUCUUGUGUCACCAGGGUGGUUCUGUGCUCCCUUGCUAAUGAAUUAUCCAGGAGUCAAUGGCCCGUGCACAGUGGAUUGGUUUGUCAUCCAUGCGGCAUAAGACACAGCUGUCAGCCUUGUGUGACUGGAACCCGAGGUCAGGGCCUCUGAGGUGAUGACGAAGCUGCCCCAUUAGCCGCGUUCCUGUUCCCUCCCUGUGCAUGGGGAGCCAGCACGUGCGCUUGGCUUGCCACUCAUCUGUGGUGCGCAGUGGUUCAGGCCUGGCAGGUGGCUAAGACUUCUGAUGGGAUUUAUCUCCCUGAGCAGCGUGAUUUGAUAAACGCUGGCAUCACAGACUUGGGGAGUGAAAAGAACCUUGGUUCAAUCCCUUUAUCUUGCAUCUGUGAAAACAGAGGCUGGAGAAAGGAGGUUGGUUCCGUGGCUGGGUCUCUGGGCUGGAAGCGGAGGCAGACCCUCUGCCUGGUGCCCCCAAUUUCUCUGGAAUACUGCUGCAGAUACUUCAUGGCAGAUGCCUCGAGGGCUGAUCCUGUGGCCUGAGAAAACGGGGAGGAAGAUGAUAACGAGAUGGGAGAAACCUCACCACUCUUCCGUCGGGCGGGUUUCUUCUCAGAUGCUCUGAUGUUGAACAUUUGAUUUAGCCUCACUCGUUGCCAUCCAGAAUCACAGCCACAGUCGUGAGGAAGGCUCAGCCACUUUCUGCCCAGUGAACGAGGAUCAGCUGUCAUGUUAGAAAACUCCCUUGCUCUUCAGGUUAUUAAAGAACUAUUAGUGCCCUCCGACAGGCAUGUAAGAAAUGAAGCCUCCGGAGGCUUGCAUAGCAGUAAUAAGUGCCUCGUUUGCACCCAAGGAUUCGCUUGCUCACUCAGCAGGAUCUGGGUCAAUAGACAUCAUUUUCAUAAGACAUUUAUCUUUCUUUUUCAUAUUAGUUAGACUAUUUUUUUUUUCCUGGCAUUUGCUUUGGAGCAAUAGGCUUUUGGGAAAAAAUAAAACGGGCCGAUUAGAAGAAUAAAGCUUGAAUUGAAUUUGGGUACAAGAGAAUACAAUGUAACUUCCAAUGCUCUGGACCACUUCCAUUUAUGUCAGUCCUUUGCCAUAAUGAGGUUUAGAUUUAAAAUUCAAUUCCAGGUUCUGUAAGGUGAUUGCUCACAAGGAAGGGUGCAGAUAGUAUUAACAAUGGUACUUGGGGAGAUUGGCGAGGGUGUGUAAGGAGGAGCCUGAAGAGCAGGUGGCAGGGGUUGACCCCUGAUCCAGUCAGCCAAUGGCACACACCAAGAGUGCCCAGGUACCCGUUCAUUCCUGUUGGUCUUGGUUUUGCUUUUUGAUGAGCAUCCUUCCAAACGCUCAGUGUACACACUCUGACUUUCAGUUACAUUCUCGGGCCAUGCAUGGCCUGAAUUAUAUUUCCCCCAGAAUUCGGAUGCUGAAGCCCUAACCCUCAUGGUGACAGUGCUUGGAGACAGGGCUUUUAGAUGGUAAUUAAAGUUGAAGGGUGAGGGUCCUAGUGUGAUAGAUUUCUUUGUCCAUCUGCCACAUGUGUGCACAGUGAGAAGGGCGUCAUUGACAAGCCAGAAGGAGAGUCUCGCCAGAGCUCACCCAUGCUGGCACCCUGGUCUCGGACUUGUGGCCUCCAGAACGGCAAGAACAUUAAUUUGUGUUGUCGAAGCCCCCAGGCUAUUGUAUUUUGUCAUCACGACACAAGCUGACCCGUGGCCUCCCUCCCUGCUUUCCUUCCUUUGUUCUUAUUUCAUGUCAGCAGUUUCAGUUGAGGUCUAUGAAAUUUGUUGGUUUAUAAGGGAAUCAUUAGGCAGCUUUGGAUGCAUUUUGCCCUGGAACUAGUGUUCUGGGUAUGACUGGGUUGCCACGUGGCCCUGAAACAUCUGUGUAAGCCAUCAGCUACCUAAGUAGCCCGUUCAGGGAUGUCCCGUGAUAUUUAGACACCAUUAAAGGAGAAAGUGGAUAAUACAUUCACAUCGUUCAAAAAAGUCUAAAUAGAGAGUUUCGUUUUCAUCUUGCCCACCAUCCAUCCAUUUCCACUGUUGCCUCCCCAGGAAACAUGUUUAUUCGUUCGAAUAUACACAUGUACAUAAAUUUAACUUCCCAAGACUUUAAAAAAUUUUUUCCAGAUGGUCUUUUAUGGUACCACGCUACUUAUAUUUCAUAGUUGCAAUAUCUUUUCUUAUCCCUCUGAGGAUAUUAAUCAAAAUUAUUUUUGCUUUCUCCCCUCCCUGUAGAGUCUUUUUGCUUCCCAGUUUCUCACUUCAUUUCCCCCUCUGUUUUGAUCUUUGUCUUUCAUGUUCACAGCUUUCCUCCAGUGUCUGAUAAUACGCAGUUGUUGGUUCAUCUGUAAGAAGGACUUUGAAGCUGCCUGUAGGCUUUGGUGUGUGGGUAGGGCAUGUUGACGCCAAGUCUCCCUGUAGGGUGAUGUGGCUGGGUUGUCUGUUUAAAAAUCAGUCUUGGUUGAGUAGUUGCAUUGUCUGCAUAUGGACCACAUCUUCUUCAUCCCUUCUUACAUCAGUGGUGGCUUAGAUUGUUCCCAUAUCUUGGCUGUGGUAAAUAAUGACAAUAGUACAACAAUAAUACGAAGAACAUAGGGGUGCAUGUGUCUUAUUGACUUGGUUUUCCAUUCUUUAGGUAAAUACCUAGGAUUGGAAUAGCUGGAUCCCAUGAUCGUUUGGUUCUUUUUUUGAGGAGUUGCCAUACUGUUUUCCUUAGUACCUGGUGUUUGGUGGUGGUGCAUGUGCAUGGGAGCCAAGCGUAUCCAGAAGUCGACCUGUCAUGUUAUAUGCAUAAAAUGUAUACAGCUUUGUAAACCCGAGUUAACUCAAGAAAAGAGAAUCAGUGUUGAUAUCUUCUGGGCUUUCCUCUUUGGUUGCUCAGAUUCUUCAGAGCAACUACCAUCUCCUGCCUGGAGAGUGAAGGGCAGACUGUUGGUGUUAUGGAGAGCCAGUGGGGAUGAGAAGGCUGGGGUGUGUAUCUGUGUGAUUAUCUCAGAAUCCUCCUUUGUUUGCCUAAUUCUCUAUUUAACCCUCUAUUUUAUAUGAGUUACCCUCGCCUGCAACCAGUGCUGCGGUCUUUCGAUGAAGAGACCCUCUAAUAUGGGCUGUCCUGUGAUGCAUCUCCCAGGUCGGUUUGCCACAGGUGAGAAUGUGCAGUGCUCGGAGUUCCCGUCGUGGCACAGUGGAAGCAAAUCUGAAUAGGAACCAUGAGGUUGCGGGUUCAAUCCCUGGCCUUGCUCAUUGGAUUAGGGAUCUGGCAUUGCUGUGAGCUGUGGUGUAAUUCACAGAUGUGGCUCGGGUCCUGUGUGACUGUGGCUGUGGCUGGUAGCUGUAGCUCCACUUGGACCCCUAGCCUGGGAAUCUCCAUAUGCUGCAGGUGCGGCCCUAAAAAGCAAAAGAAAAAAAAA